This 185-nucleotide small nuclear RNA is filed under the name Panthera leo (lion). Its description in RNAcentral is "U2 spliceosomal RNA (ENSPLOG00000019910.1)". It matches the Rfam family "U2 spliceosomal RNA". Rfam says of the family: U2 is a small nuclear RNA (snRNA) component of the spliceosome (involved in pre-mRNA splicing). Complementary binding between U2 snRNA (in an area lying towards the 5' end but 3' to hairpin I) and the branchpoint sequence (BPS) of the intron results the bulging out of an unpaired adenosine, on the BPS, which initiates a nucleophilic attack at the intronic 5' splice site, thus starting the first of two transesterification reactions that mediate splicing. The record is from Rfam by way of RNAcentral. Lineage: Eukaryota; Metazoa; Chordata; Mammalia; Carnivora; Felidae.
AUCGCUUCUCGGCCUUUUGGCUAAGAUCAAGUGUAGUAUCUGUUCCAUCAGUUUACUGAUCUCGAUACGUGUCCCUCAUCCGAGGACAAUAUAUUAAAUGGAUUUUGAGCUGGGAGAUGGAGCUUGCUCCGUCCACCCGCGCAUCGAUCUGGUAUUGCAGUACUUCCAGGAACGGUGCACCCCCA